RNAcentral lists this ribosomal RNA (898 nucleotides) under Virgaria nigra. Its description in RNAcentral is "LSU rRNA". It matches the Rfam family "Eukaryotic large subunit ribosomal RNA", at positions 38 to 966 of the family's 3401-position model. The record is from RNAcentral. Lineage: Eukaryota; Fungi; Ascomycota.
GCAUAUCAAUAAGCGGAGGAAAAGAAACCAACAGGGGAUUGCCUUAGUAACGGCGAGUGAAGCGGCAACAGCUCAAAUUUGAAAUCUGGCCCCAGGCCCGAAUUGUAAUUUGUAGAGGAUGCUUUUGGUGCGGUACCUUCCGAGUUCCCUGGAACGGGACGCCUUAGAGGGUGAGAGCCCCGUACGGUUGGAUGCCUAGCCUCUGUAAAGCUCCUUCGACGAGUCGAGUAGUUUGGGAAUGCUGCUCUAAAUGGGAGGUAAAUUUCUUCUAAAGCUAAAUACCGGCCAGAGACCGAUAGCGCACAAGUAGAGUGAUCGAAAGAUGAAAAGCACUUUGAAAAGAGGGUUAAAUAGUACGUGAAAUUGUUGAAAGGGAAGCGCUUAUGACCAGACUUUUGCCCUGCGGAUCAUCUGGUGUUCUCACCAGUGCACUUCGCUUGGUUUAGGCCAGCGUCGAUUUUGGUAGGGGGAUAAAGGCUCGGGAAACGUGGCUCUUCCGGGAGUGUUAUAGUCCCCUGCGUAAUACCCUUACCGGGAUCGAGGUUCGCGCUCUGCAAGGACGCUGGCAUAAUGGUCAUCAGUGACCCGUCUUGAAACACGGACCAAGGAGUCGAACAUUUGUGCGAGUGUUUGGGUGUUAAACCCUCACGCGUAAUGAAAGUGAACGGAGGUGAGAGCCCUCGGGUGCAUCAUCGACCGAUCCUGAUGUCUUCGGAUGGAUUUGAGUAAGAGCAUAACUGUUCGGACCCGAAAGAUGGUGAACUAUGCGUGGAUAGGGUGAAGCCAGAGGAAACUCUGGUGGAGGCUCGCAGCGGUUCUGACGUGCAAAUCGAUCGUCAAAUCUGCGCAUGGGGGCGAAAGACUAAUCGAACCAUCUAGUAGCUGGUUACCGCCGAAG